CCCUUAGAUGUCCUGGGCCGCACGCGCGCUACACUGAACGGAUCAGCGCGUUUUCCCUUCCCGAGAGGGACGGGUAACCUGCUGAACCCCGUUCGUGGUAGGGAUCGGGGCUUGCAAUUAUUCCCCGUGAACCAGGAAUGCCCAGUAAGUGCAAGUCAUAAGCUUGCGUUGAUUACGUCCCUGCCCUUUGUACACACCGCCCGUCGCUACUACCGAUUGAACGUUUUAGUGAGGUACUCGGACUGAGCCUCAGAAGAUUCACGUCUUUUGUGCUGCUCGGGAAGAUUCCCAAACUUGAGCGUUUAGAGGAAGUAAAGGUCGUAACA
RNAcentral lists this ribosomal RNA (326 nucleotides) under uncultured eukaryote. RNAcentral describes it as "partial 18S ribosomal RNA". It matches the Rfam family "Eukaryotic small subunit ribosomal RNA", at positions 1470 to 1796 of the family's 1831-position model. The record is from RNAcentral.